AAUUGUGAUUUCCUCGGGGAAGCUUCCCAGGCCCCUCAGCCCACGGAGGCCUUCCCAGCACCUUGACCGCACCACAAAACCAGGCGGCGGAUGGGCCGAGGACUGCUUUGGGUCUCCUGUCACACUGACUUCCAGGGAAGGGCUGUGUCUCUAGCAGCUGGCGAGUCAGAGGACACUCGGGGCGAGCCGUUCAGGACUCUCUGUCCGCCUGCAGCCCCCGCCUUCCCCGGUACCUCCGCCGAGAGCCAAGAGGCGUCCAGAGGGGGGCCCAGGCGCACGGUCCCCAGGGAGGGGCCCCGCCCUCAGGCCCAGGCUUCCACAGGGUCAAGCGGUCUCAAGCCGGCGGCUCUCCCUGGUGGAUUCCUGCAGCUGCUUCCAUCCCGGGCCCUGCUGAAGCUGCCUUUGCUGAAAAGAUGUAGGGCACAGCCGCUGGGGUGAUAGUGGGAGACGGAAAGGUUGGCUGAGAGGCCUGAUUCCUUCCACGCAUCACAACCUGAAAAUCACCAAAGGUUUUCCUUGUUGGGGAGGAGUGAAUGGCAGCACCGGAAGCCAAGGCCCCUCACCACCAAGAAGCCAGCAGCUCAUCCCCACCUUCUGGACCAAAGACACGAAGCAGAGGCCAAGCCGAGCCAAGGUCAGGACCUGGGGCCACAGUCAAGGUCGGGGCCUGGGGUCGCGGUCAAGGUCGGGGUCUGGGGUCACGGUCAAGGUCGGGGCCUGGGGUCACGGUCAAGGUCAGAGCCUGGGGCCACAGUGGAUUUCCUCCUGUGGGGAUGUCCUUGACGUCCACAGCUCAGGCCUGAGGGUCUGCCACCGGCUCCAGCAGCUGCCACAGGUGUCCUGACUCACAGGGUGUCUCUGGCUCAGGGCCGGGGCUGUCUGCAACUCCCCUCUCCCCUGAGCCCUCUGAGUGGGGCUCCUCAAGCUCUCAGAGGCUCCGCCAUACCUGGGCUUUCUGGGGGCUGGGUCCUGCCCUGCGACGCCUGCCAGGCUCUUUGUAGACAGUUACUGAUCUCCCAUUGGCUCCGGUUUUGUGGCUCUAAGUGCUUCUGGCCCUCCCUCCACACUCCCUGCCUCUCUGCUGAGUAGUUAAUUCACUAUAAGCACUCCCAGAGGAAGCCUCCAGCCUCUCAGUGAAACUGCAGCGAUGAAUGAGAAUGAUCGGGCACCCAGGUCUGCCUCCAAGUCUCGCGGAUGGCCCAGAGACCGUGCAGUGGGAAGGUUGGCAGCGAGCUGAGGGUUUGAACUCUGGCUGUGCCCCUGCUGCCAGGGGACCUCAGGCAAAUCAUCUUUUUCUCUGGGCCUUGGUUUCCUCAGCUGUGGGGUCAGUGCUGGCCCCGAGUCACUGGGCCGUUGUGAGGAUGGAGAGGGGGUCAUGCAGGCUCCUGGGUCCUCGCUGAAGCCACCCAGGAGUUCUUCUGCACUCUCAGGGGAGCCCUUGUGCUGACAUCUGAGGGUCACGGUUCAGUGGCUUCAGGGUCCAGACAGGCCCGGAGGCAAGGCCAGAUGUGGUGCAGCCAGGGGAGGGGGCAAGCCCUGGGGGCCGUGGGCCAUCGGUUCACAGCACAUCAGGGGCCAGGAAUCCCACUCAGGGUUUAGCCCUAGGCUCCCCCCAGCACCCCCCUCCCAAUCCAGAGGACACUCCCAGCCCUGAGCAGUGAGCUCUGGGCAGGCAUCGGGAGAGGGAGCGCAUCUCGGCUCUUUGUGAGGAAUAACGUCCCGACAGGUCACUGACACAGAAAAGCCCUUUGUCCCAGCCAGCUGGCCGCCUGCUAAUGACAUCCAGCCUGCACCUUCCAGGGCCACCUCUGCAUCCAGAAAGGACGGAGGCGGCUCCAGCUGGGGAGGAACAAGGGCCACAGCUUCCCUGGGGUCAGGGGUGGGGAGGGUGGGUGAAGGCUCCGGACGCUUCUGCACGUUGCCCCAGAGCUGCGGACGGACCUCAGGUGACCGUCAAGACCUGCUGCGGAUCCAGUGACCCCCCCAAGGAGAGUGCCGAGUCCUGGGAAUUCUCUUCCUCCUCCUGCACCUCCAAGUCACCUUGCCCUCUCCCGUGUUCCCCAGCCAGACCCCCAGUAGAGAGGAGACCCCUGCAGUUGUGGAUGUGGCUUUCCCCAGUGUCCACGAGACCCCUGGAGCCUGGCCCCUCUGGGCCUGUAGAAGCUCCCAUGAGAUUCUGAUGCACGGCGAGGGCCUGAGCCCCGGGCCAGCUCUGGGGGGCAGCCCUGGGCUCCCAUGUAGGUUUCAUCACACCACACUGUGGCCCUCACACCCUGCCCUCUGGCUGCCCCUCCUCCCUAGGGCAUGUACCCCGAGCCCACCUCAGCCUCCCCGGGCAUAUCAGGGCCCCACUUUCUGGGGUAUGUGUGAGCCACGGGACCUCGAGUCAGGAGAUCCAGGCCUAGGCCUGAUUCUGCCCCCUCCAGGUUCAGGACCCUGGGCAAGUCCCCCCACCCAUCUUAGCCCAGCCUCCCCACCCAUAAAAUUUGGGUUGCUUGUCCCGGCUCUGAGGCUUUGAGAGCAGGGCUGUCUCUAACCGAGGGAGGGUGCUGCAAACUCCAGAAGGCCCCCGUCCCAGGGAACAGCGGGGGGAACUGUCAGAGAAGCGACCCCUGGACCAGCACCCUGAGUGGGCUUCCUUCUCCCCACCCUGCUGAGACCACCCAAGCCUUGUUAAGAUCAAAGGUUCCCUGGGGAGCCACAUGGGCCAUGCUGGACACUCCCUGCCAGACUUUCCGGAACAAUUCCUGGGGACCCAUGUCCCACAAACACCAGCUGGAAAAGGCAGCAACGUGGGGUCUCCCUCCCCCUCAGCCAAAGUGAACUGUGUCAGCAGGUGUCUCCCAGCUGCUGAGAAUGAGCCAAGGGACCAGGAUGGCCGCCUGGCUCCUGCAAGUGGAGAGGGUCUUGCUGGGGCCUGAACUGGCUGAGGUCUUGCAGCAGCUUCUUGACGCCCCAUUCCCCAAACCCGGGCCCCCAAUGCCCCCGCCCCACCCCCGGGAGAAGAGCCCAGCCGUGCCAGAGGGUGGAGAGUUCUGUCAACCAGCGCUGUUUCCUUAUCAACAAGGACAUGUCUACAAAUAGCUCAUCACGUCUCCAAUCCAGAAGUGCUGUGUCGUUUCAAAAAUGAGCGGAGCCAACGCAGCCGCCAGCCCGGCCUCGGCUACCUGGGCAAGGCUGCCGGCUCAUGAAUAUUCAUGGCUCCGAUGGCGUCUCCGAGCCUCCUAACCAUCCGGAAUUAAACCAAUGAGCUUCCCCUC
RNAcentral lists this non-coding RNA (3260 nucleotides) under Pan troglodytes (chimpanzee). The record is from RNAcentral. Lineage: Eukaryota; Metazoa; Chordata; Mammalia; Primates; Hominidae.